AUCACUUCUUGGCCUUCUGGCUAAGAUCAAGUGUAGUAUCAGUGUUUAUUUUUCCCAUAAAUAGUCUGAAUAAAUUUCUCUAAAUAUUGACUGAUUUGGUUUCCUUGUUAUCCAAGCCUGGAAAGUCCUCU
This is a small nuclear RNA of Monodelphis domestica (gray short-tailed opossum), 131 nucleotides long. Its record names the gene U2. It matches the Rfam family "U2 spliceosomal RNA". From Rfam's summary of the family: U2 is a small nuclear RNA (snRNA) component of the spliceosome (involved in pre-mRNA splicing). Complementary binding between U2 snRNA (in an area lying towards the 5' end but 3' to hairpin I) and the branchpoint sequence (BPS) of the intron results the bulging out of an unpaired adenosine, on the BPS, which initiates a nucleophilic attack at the intronic 5' splice site, thus starting the first of two transesterification reactions that mediate splicing. The record is from Ensembl. Lineage: Eukaryota; Metazoa; Chordata; Mammalia; Didelphimorphia; Didelphidae.